Molecule: microRNA, 22 nt
Filed under: Drosophila ananassae
Lineage: Eukaryota; Metazoa; Arthropoda; Insecta; Diptera; Drosophilidae
Also listed under: 3 other names
Description: Dan-Mir-959-v1_3p (mature (guide))
Source: RNAcentral
UUGUCAUCGGGGGUAUUAUGAA